AAGCCGCGGGCACAGCUGAGCGCGUCCGGCCCGGAGGCCUGUGUGUCCCCGGAGUGCUCUUCCUCUGUGCCAUUACACACUGUAUGACCCGGCCACGCGCGCAGCGGUCACAUCUGAUGUGGCAUUGAGACUGUGAUCUUGUUUUUUACCUAUCAAGAACCAAACCCAGAUUGUAAACGAUACAGGCUGGUACUUCUUCGGUGCUUUUCUAUCCGGCGACCGGGGUGAGCUCCGUCCGCCUCUCCGGCCCCAGCAAGAAGCCGGCCCCGUACGGUCCCAGCUGCAGAAAUACAACAUUGUCUUUAUAGCCCCACAACUUUUUUGACACGUUUUGUAACAUCUAGGGAGGGGAGUUAGCCACGGAACUAUAACUGGUGACUUCUUUGGUUUGAUUUUGUUCCGUUUUGAGUUUAGCCUCUCUUUCCAGGCAAAUAAAACAGUCUGGCUCACAUUAGACUUCCCCCAAAGCACCUCACUCCUCUUUCCUUCCUGUGCUGAUGGCUCGUGAGUAUCCUCACCACACAGAUAACUCUUAAAUCUAUCUUCCUGUAGGUUCUUUUUUUUUUUUUUUUAAUAUUUAUUUAUUUUGAGAGAAAGAGUGUGAUUCAAGGAGGGGCAAAGAGGGAGGGAGAGAGAGAAUCCAAAGCCAACUCUGAGCUGUCAGCACAGAGUCUGACGCGGGGCUCGAACUCAUGCACCGUGAGAUCAUGACCGGAGCCAAAAACAAGAGCCAGAUGCUCAACUGACUGAGCCACCCAGGCACCCCAUUCUUAAAUCUGUCUUCCUAGACCCCAAUUCUUUCCUGAGCUCAAGCACUGCAAUUUCUACUUGCUUUCCUGUGAGUCCAGGUUCGUUGAUCAAAGAACACUCUCAAGUACUUCCCGCGCUUCCCUGCAGUGGAGAAGUGAGCGACACGGAAAGAAAGUCCUGAAGCCCACAGAACGUAAACGGCCUGCGUGCAAACUCAACACGUCCAGUCAGGCAGGCAGAAACCACACCGACUGUUUCAGUUCGGGGACCCAGUUCCGCAGGCGACGGAGGCCGGAAAGGCAGAUGAGCAGAAGGAGAACCCAACAAGAUCGUGUACACCUGGGAUGUGACUCAGCCGUCCGGCCCUGUUGCCACAAAGCAGGGAAGAAAGGGGUGAACAGAGAGGCUGAGCGACAGCGGGUACGUAACACCUGCCCGACCAGCUCUUCCCUACGACUUCCUAUUUCAGUUCCUGGCACCACAGUCCUCUAAGCAGUGAAGGGAUCUGUGUCUUCAUUCACACGCAAUCAGCGGUCCAACCCCAGAGAGCCCCUGCAAUUUCCCUCCUCUCCGGGCUCAAUCGGGGGACUGAGAAGCACGAUUCUGAGUUAGCACACAUUCCCGCUCAAAGCAAAGAAAGAAACUUCUAGUUAUACUUCAGUCACAGUUGUGUCCAAUCAAUGUACAACAUUGCAAAACUAAAAAUCGCCAGGAGACCCUUAUUACUCACAUCAAAGACCUCAACGGGACACGUACGCACUGUCCUAGAUGACCCUGUCUACUAAGUUUGCAAAUUACUACAUGUCGGGUGAAAUGCCCGUGAUUCCUGACGCAUGUCCCAAAGGAGGAUCUGGUGUCUCCUGUUUCCCGUGAAGCCAGGUGUCUGCAAGGUUUGCGAGUGCCUUUUGCACGUGGCUUGGUCCCAGGGGGUGAUUUCCAAAGACGGCCACAACCGUGUCUCCCGUUGCACGUGC
Molecule: long non-coding RNA, 1724 nt
Filed under: Felis catus (domestic cat)
Lineage: Eukaryota; Metazoa; Chordata; Mammalia; Carnivora; Felidae
Description: lncRNA (ENSFCAG00000048144.1)
Source: RNAcentral